UGGGGAAUCUUGCACAAUGGGGGAAACCCUGAUGCAGCGACGCCGCGUGAGUGAUGAAGCCCUUCGGGGUGUAAAGCUCUUUCGACGGGAACGAUUAUGACGGUACCCGGAGAAGAAGCUGCGGCUAACUACGUGCCAGCAGCCGCGGUAAUACGUAGGCAGCAAGCGUUGUUCGGAAUUACUGGGCGUAAAGAGUAUGUAGGUGGUUUGCUAAGUCCGAUGUGAAAUCUCCCGGCUUAACUGGGAGGGUGCGUUAGAUACUGGCAGGCUUGAGUGUGGGAGAGGAAAGCGGAAUUCCUGGUGUAGCGGUGAAAUGCGUAGAUAUCAGGAGGAACGCCUGUGGUGUAGACGGCUUUCUGGACCAUUACUGACACUGAGAUACGAAAGCGUGGGUAGCAAA
This 400-nucleotide ribosomal RNA is filed under the name uncultured bacterium. Its description in RNAcentral is "bacterial SSU rRNA". It matches the Rfam family "Bacterial small subunit ribosomal RNA", at positions 355 to 772 of the family's 1533-position model. The record is from RNAcentral.